GGUGGAGCGAUUUGUCUGGUUAAUUCCGAUAACGAACGAGACUCUAUCCUGCUAACUAGUCGGUGGAUCGUUACCUUAGUCGGGUCGUCUCUUUCGCGCCGUAGUUGUUGCGGUGGAUGUCGUUCGGUAAAGGUGUCGACGCGUUCGAUGUGCGUUUUGCUUUCGGGCAUGCGUUCGGAGGCGCGUAACGGCCUUUAUCGGGCGCUCUCCCACACUGCGGUUGCGGGUGGCGCUCGGUUAGGGGCGUUCAUCGUAUUUCUUCUUAGAGGGAUUGUCGGUUCGUAGCCGUAAGAGAAUGAGCAAUAACAGGUCUGUGAUGCCCUUAGAUGUCCUGAGCUGCACGCGCGCUACAAUGAUUGUAGCAGCGUGCUUUCCUUCUCCGAAAGGAGUGAGUAACCCCGUGAAUUGCAAUCCCGCUUGGGAUUGGGGAUUGCAAUAUUUCCUCAUGAACGAGGAAUGCCUAGUAAGCGCAGGUCAAAAGCUUGCGUUGACUAAGUCCCUGCCCUUUGUACACACCGCCCGUCGCUACUACCGAUUGGAUGAAGUAUCAAAGACGUUGGACCGUGGCCCCUUAGUUUCGCCGAAUGCGUGCGUAUACGACGGGAUUGUGGAAAGGCGUCUGAGGUAGCUUAUCUAGAGGAAGUAAAAGUCGUAACAAGGUCUUCGUUGGUGAACCUGCGGAAGGAUCAUUA
RNAcentral lists this ribosomal RNA (692 nucleotides) under Paracerceis cordata. RNAcentral describes it as "bacterial SSU rRNA". It matches the Rfam family "Eukaryotic small subunit ribosomal RNA", at positions 1300 to 1831 of the family's 1831-position model. Lineage: Eukaryota; Metazoa; Arthropoda; Malacostraca; Isopoda; Sphaeromatidae. The record is from RNAcentral.